AAUUGGCAUUCAUGUUGCGACAGCAAGAUCCUUGAGCUGCACGAUGAAUAUGUAAUGAAUUCACAAUAAUAAAGCAUCGGAUUUAACGAAAUCUGAAAUCAGGGCACUUGGGACGAGGCCUACAAACGGUGCUGCUCCCUUGGAAUGGACCUCCUUUCAGUCCACAAUCCAAACAAGCAAUACUGCUUGGGCAAUCCUUACAGUUUAGCUUUUUUAAAGUUCUAUUCAGAUAUUAAAAUUAUAAAAAAAAUCAGAAAAUAGUAACCCGAAUGAGAAAGGGGAUCUGCCUUUUCGGACGGAGGUCUGGACAGCGGGGCGGGAUAUCGAGUCUUGCCGCGGACAAUUGCGAUGGUGCACCGGCUACCUGAACGACUACCUGAAAAACGACCUGACUUGGAAAAAGGGCCACGAUCCGAGAUUUGCGAACAACUCGUGCGUUUACAUCGAUUUUGGGGAUCCAGUUGAGCCUAGUCUGGCGCUGGCAGACUGCUCGGAAAAGAAACAGAUCAUCUGCGAGGUAUUUUGUCAGAAUAACGGGAUUAGAAUUAAAUUUAAUUUUGUAAAAAGGCGCCAAUGGGAGUGGGCUUCAAAUCGCAGAUGCAUUAUCAACCUUGCAGGAGGAAUUUCAGAGUUAAAGAAAGCGAUGCCGAGAAAAUUUGGAACACUGGCGAUUUGAGCAGAACCAGUUACGCAGCCAAAAAAAUGAUUCAAUGCCUAGCAGAGCACAUAGGACUGGUGUACAACUCGACCAAAAUCAACCUGCACGUUUACCUGACA
Molecule: long non-coding RNA, 777 nt
Organism: Cloeon dipterum
Lineage: Eukaryota; Metazoa; Arthropoda; Insecta; Ephemeroptera; Baetidae
Exons: 4
Source: RefSeq, a predicted model, not a curated record